Molecule: long non-coding RNA, 2872 nt
Organism: Labrus mixtus (cuckoo wrasse)
Lineage: Eukaryota; Metazoa; Chordata; Actinopteri; Labriformes; Labridae
Exons: 2
Source: RefSeq, a predicted model, not a curated record
ACGCCGUCCGUAGGUUUUGUCAUUUCUCACCAACCUUAAGACAAAUCAGAAUAAAUAUUUUGGCAUUUUUUCAUGAUUUUGGUAAGUGUAGUCUUACCACUGGGAUUUGUUCCAUUGUAUGUGAAAGGAGCAGUAUGUAACUCUGAAACCUAGUGUUUAAAAUAGGUACUGCAGUCUAAAUUCUAAACAUCAUAGAGAGCUGUCCCCCCCCCCCCCACCCCCCUCCUCUCUAGAGUCCAUGCUCACACAGGUCACCAUGUGGUGGACUCUGAAGCUUCAGUGUUUAUCCAGCUCUGCAUGGGUCUGUAAACCUUUCUGUGUUCUAACCUCUCUCCAUUUUUCAAAAGCAUCUCCAAUAUUGAUCCUAGUUUGAGCACGUUUCUGCUCGGGCGUCCAAAACGGCCGUGUGGGGGGGUGUCUUAAAAUCGCCUACCUUCUCUGGUCCAAACAAAUCCAGAGCAUUCAGGAGCAGAAUCUAAAGUUAGAAGGAGGACAUACUGGCUGCUGCAUUGUUGUCAGAGAAGCCAGCACUUCAACAUGUUUCCUUAAUGAUCAGAUAGUAAGAUACCUUUAUCAUCUCACUCUCUACACAUCUCACUGAUUGUAGCUUUAAUAAGAGUGCUCUAGUCCAUUGUACGUCCUCAGUAUGCUCUCUGAUCAAAUUAUUUAGAACAAGGUCAGUAAUUCCAUUUUCUCUGCGUGAGGUUAGUAAACAGAAUAUCAUAUCAACCCUUCUCCUUCUGCGUUGGAUGUCACUGCUCCCCUCUGCUUGUCAUCAGUCUGCAGUUUUAUCUUAAAAGAAGAAUUUCAAUCUUUUCUGAUGUGCAACAAAAAGACAUACAUUUCACAGUGACUCACAGUACAGCAUACAGAACAGAGUGACGGCCCCAGCUGUCAUUGUUAUAACAGUAUUAGAAGAUUCAUGUAAAAAAUGAUGCUUUUGUUGUCUCUAAUUCACUUUCAUGAUGGGAGAACCGUCUCUGUGGUGCACAGGGAGCGUGAGGCUCCAGUUGAAGGAGGAAGUGCUGAGUGGUUUGUUGGGACUAAUAAUAGUUGCUAUCUAGACAGCGGUGUCAAGUACAUGUGAUGACUGCUUCCCCCUCUCUUCACCGGCUUCAGCCAGAGCCACAGACAGACGAGGGGUUGGCCAAAGCUGCAGCAGAGCCUUUUGUACAAAGAGUUUCUCCAUGAAGGAUUGGGGGUUAAGUUACUCAGGCUAACUCUAGAUGGAAAACGUCGGCCAUGUUUACAUUUAUGUCCACUGCGGUCGCCAAAAUCGAGUGCAACUGAGGGACGUCACAGUCGUUGGUUUGACUGUAAGGAAAACGCAGUGCGGCCCCCUGACUGCAUACGACAAGUCGCAACAUUUCAUGCAAGACCCUGCUUGUCGCCUAGUGUCCCUGCUGCUUGUGGGUUAAACCAAAAGGGUCAAGAGUCAGAAACUACAUGACGCAUUGCUCGCACCACAUGCUCUCAGAAUGAGAUUUCAGUGCACUGCUUGCGUGCAUGUAUGAAAAGGUAUUUUAUAUUACCAAAAAGCCGCCAUGUUGUUUCCAGUUUGAAUGCUGGGGAAAAUAACCUUUCCUGUCAAUCAUGGGAGAAUCCAAAUCCAAUCAAAUGUUGGAUCGCGCAGCUCGCAUCGCACUCAUUUGAAUAUUGUUCACUGAAGUUAACAGUGAGAGUUAAGUUUUGUCCCGUCCUUUUCUCGCAUCUUGUGCCUAAACCUGCAAUUCUGCAGAGGUGCACUUGUUACCUGUUUCUGCUGCCGUAUUUAUUUGUUGGCAGUUUGCCUUCAUUAGAGAGGACAGGGCUGCAGUGGUUAGUGCUGUUGCCUCACAGGGAGGAGGUUCCUGGUUUGAAUCCCCGUUUGGUUCGUUGGGUUAAUUAGUGACUCUACAUUUUACAUAUUAUUGUUUUUUUUUGAUAAUUUAUUCACUUGUUUCUGUUUCUUUUACUGCUCUUACCUUCUUAUUGCUGUUAUCUUUUUUAUUUGCUUUUAGCUCUUUUAGUUUCUUACAUCUUUUUAAAUCUUUGGUCCUCUUGGUAUCAGCUCGUGUUGUUGGGUUCUUGUGUUGCCUGGGUUCUUAUGAUGGUUCUUGUGUUUCCUGGGUUCUUAUGAUGGUUCUUGUGAUGGUUCUUAUGAUGGUUCUUGUGUUGCCUGGGUUCUUAUGAUGGUUCUUGUGUUGCCUGGGUUCUUAUGAUGGUUCUUGUGUUUCCUGGGUUCUUAUGAUGGUUCUUGUGAUGGUUCUUAUGAUGGUUCUUGUGUUUCCUGGGUUCUUAUGAUGGUUCUUAUGAUGGUUCUUAUGAUGGUUCUUGUGAUGUUUCUUGUGAUGGUUCUUGUGAUGGUUCUUGUGAUGGUUCUUGUGAUGGUUCUUGUGAUGGUUCUUAUGAUGGUUCUUAUGAUGGUUCUUAUGAUGGUUCUUAUGAUGGUUCUUGUGAUGGUUCUUGUGAUGGUUCUUGUGAUGGUUCUUAUGAUGGUUCUUAUGAUGGUUCUUGUGAUGGUUCUUGUGAUGGUUCUUAUGAUGGUUCUUGUGAUGGUUCUUGUGAUGGUUCUUGUGAUGGUUCUUAUGAUGGUUCUUAUGAUGGUUCUUGUGAUGGUUCUUGUGAUGGUUCUUAUGAUGGUUCUUGUGAUGGUUCUUGUGAUGGUCGGGUUAUAUAUGUCUGUUGGGUAUCGUGCACUUUGGAUUCUUUUCUGUUGAAUUGUAUUUAAUUAUUUUUAGUAUUUUACAUUUGUUAUGUUCUUGCUGUUGUUUCUGUUCUUCUGUGUUUGGUUUAGUUUGUUCUUGUUUUUGCUGUUUGUCAAAGCACUUUGUAAACCUGUGUUUUUAAAAGGUGCUAUAUAAAUAAAGUUAUUAUUAUUAUUAUUAUUACA